Naganishia onofrii is the source of this 87-nucleotide non-coding RNA. Lineage: Eukaryota; Fungi; Basidiomycota; Tremellomycetes; Filobasidiales; Filobasidiaceae. The record is from the annotation of a GenBank genome assembly.
UGCUGGAUAGUGUAGCGGUUAGCACCUUUGGUUUUGAGCUUAUCUGUUCGGUUCCAAAUAACCCGAGUUCGAAUCUCGGUCCGGCAU